UACAGAGGCCCCAAGCGUUACUGAGAAUCACUGGGUUUAAAGGGUGCGUAGGUGGCGCGUUAAGUUCGUUGUGAAAUCCCUGGGCUCAACCCAGGAAAUGCUUCGAAUACUGGCGCGCUUGAGGCCGGUAGGGGUCACUGGAACUGACGGUGGAGCGGUGAAAUGCGUAGAUAUCGUCAGGAACGCCAAUGGUGAAGACAGGUGACUGGGCCGAUACUGACGCUGAUGUGCGAAAGCCAGGGGAGCGAACGGG
RNAcentral lists this ribosomal RNA (253 nucleotides) under uncultured prokaryote. Its description in RNAcentral is "partial 16S ribosomal RNA". It matches the Rfam family "Bacterial small subunit ribosomal RNA", at positions 524 to 776 of the family's 1533-position model. The record is from RNAcentral.